Molecule: long non-coding RNA, 669 nt
Organism: Limulus polyphemus (Atlantic horseshoe crab)
Lineage: Eukaryota; Metazoa; Arthropoda; Merostomata; Xiphosura; Limulidae
Exons: 3
Source: RefSeq, a predicted model, not a curated record
CAGUGGACUUUGCCUUAGGUUGCUGAAAUUGAUAUGUCAUCUAUAUAAUAAUAUCCUGUUGCGACGAGGUUUUUGUGGAGACUUCUCUUCGGCAGAUUAAAAAUAAGUACUUGUUUGUAAUGCUCCAGCCACCCACGAUCAAAACUGUGAUGGACGAUUCUCAUAAGUGGGACCAGUAAUAACCGUUGAUGACGUCUGGUGUUAGUUAUCCGUGCGUGGGAAGACUGAAAAGUUAGUGCCAAACCGCAAAUAUGUACAGAAACAUGUUUGUCUGAAACUAUGGUGACGAAACCAGGAAAGAUAUUCUUAUGGCGCCAGACCGUUGGGCUACAGACACUAACAGGUCAUGCUGACCCUGGAGGAAUGUAUAACAAAGGAAGCCGCACCAGUUGAGAGCACGCUUGAAAUCAGAGAGGCAUCCUUGAAUGAAGGUCACAAGUGUUAUUGUCCCUACAUAUCAAAUCCAAAACAUAAUCAUUUAACCACUAAACCAUAGGUAGUUAGUUAUGUCUAUAGCUAUCAAAUGACAGCCAGUGUUUAGACCACUUAGAUGUUUCCCAUAAUACUUUAUUAUUCUUAUUAAAAGCAAACAAUCUAUCUCAAUGAUUUGAAUAUUGUAUCAAUUUAUAACAUUCCAGUUGAUAAAAUUUUUAUUUAGACGUUUGAAAA